Non-coding RNA from Clostridium butyricum, 76 nucleotides. The record is from Rfam. Lineage: Bacteria; Bacillati; Bacillota; Clostridia; Eubacteriales; Clostridiaceae.
UUAAUAUGAUAAAAAUCCAUUACAGAUUUAUAUAUAUGUUAUCAAGGUUUUAAUUAACAAGGAGGGCAAUUUAAUG